AUUGUCAUGGAGACGGGAAGCUGGCUGCAGCGGCGGCGGGGACCGUGGGGCCGAGGUGGCUGCCAGCCGGCCAAUGUCUAAGCGAGGCGGAGCGGCCCAGGCGGCCCGAGCCUGGGGGAGCGCGCAGCCGGCCAGUGGCGGCCUCGCCGGCGGCCUCUUCCCGGGCUCGCAGUAGGCCCGAGUCGUCGCCGGGAGCUCCUGGGAGCAGCGUCCCCGCCCUGCUCCCCUCGCUCCCGCCUCUUGCGGCCCCACGGCCCCUCAGCGCCCGCCCCCGGCUCCGCCCGCCGCAGCCGCAGCCCCUGGCGCUAACGGUCGGUAACGGCCCGCGCGCGCCGCCCGCCGGGGGCUCGCGCCAGCCACGAGGGAGCGUCCGCGGCCCGCGCGCCCGCGCGGCGGAGGAGAGGUGUUAAGUGUGAUGCUUCCAUAAUACAUUUGGAUGCUGUCAGCUAAGUUCACUUCUGAACUAAGGGGUUCCUCCAAAUGUUGGCUGAAAUUCAUCCCAAGGCUGGUCUGCAAGUGAGUGUCUGCACACAGUUUGCUUGUAUGUGGAGUCGAUCCAAAAUAGCAUCAAUGUUGGUUUUACCAAAGUAUUUAUUAUUGAUAAUAGAGGCUAAGUACAAAAUGUAGAGAAUGUCAGCUACUUGAGGCCUUUGAUUAUUAAAAAUUUUAUUAAUGCAUUAAACAAGAGUACAGUAAAUAGAUAAAUUUUAGGUUCAUGAAAUAAAACUGAAUAAUUUAUUUUUACUUACUAUUUAUCA
Molecule: long non-coding RNA, 758 nt
Filed under: Homo sapiens (human)
Lineage: Eukaryota; Metazoa; Chordata; Mammalia; Primates; Hominidae
Description: non-protein coding lnc-IRX3-80:13
Source: RNAcentral